RNAcentral lists this long non-coding RNA (307 nucleotides) under Solanum pimpinellifolium. RNAcentral's name for it is "long non-coding RNA (SPIM_LNC000128)". The record is from RNAcentral. Lineage: Eukaryota; Viridiplantae; Streptophyta; Magnoliopsida; Solanales; Solanaceae.
AUCUUUCAUUAUUCAUCUUUUAUGUCCGUCCUGGGACAUAGAUAUUCUAGAUACCCCCUUCUAUUAUGAAUCGCCAAAGUCUUCCUACUUCUCCAUUGUUACAAUCAGAUCCGAAAAAUGAGAAAUCAAUCAAGAUGGACCUGAAUUGAAUCAUGACUAUAUAAGCUAUUCUGAUAUUAAGAGAUUUAAUAUAGAUGAAAUUCGUGGAAGCGGACCUUUGAUUUCCUUGGACCACGUAAGAAUUCGUCGUCCGAUUGAAUCUGCUUUUUCCUGGAUGCUCUAUAGGAAUCCAUCGCUAUUCCUUUCC